GCCACCGUAACUCAGUUGGCUAGAGUAGGGGUUUUGUAAACCUCAAGUCGUCAGUUCGAAUCUGACCGGUGGCUCCA
Molecule: transfer RNA, 77 nt
Filed under: Woeseia sp.
Lineage: Bacteria; Pseudomonadati; Pseudomonadota; Gammaproteobacteria; Woeseiales; Woeseiaceae
Description: tRNA-Thr
Rfam family: tRNA
About the family: Transfer RNA (tRNA) molecules are approximately 80 nucleotides in length. Their secondary structure includes four short double-helical elements and three loops (D, anti-codon, and T loops).
Source: RNAcentral